UUUCCGUAGGUGAACCUGCGGAAGGAUCAUUACUGAGUGUCUGGGUCCCCUGCGGACCCAACCUCCCAACCCUUUGUGUACCUGUCCAUGUUGCUUCGGCGGAGACCGACCGCGUCCUCUCUCGCAUGAGGGGGGCCGGCCACCCGCCGAAGGUCCAUUACCAAACUCUUGAUAUUUACAAUGUCGUCUGAGUCUUUGAUAUAAUCAAAACAAAACUUUCAACAACGGAUCUCUUGGUUCUGGCAUCGAUGAAGAACGCAGC
This 262-nucleotide unclassified non-coding RNA is filed under the name uncultured fungus. RNAcentral's name for it is "sequence contains ITS1, 5.8S rRNA gene". The stretch from base 214 to 262 matches the Rfam family "5.8S ribosomal RNA", at positions 1 to 49 of the family's 154-position model. The record is from RNAcentral. Lineage: Eukaryota; Fungi.